CAGUUUUUCUUGCCAUUUUGAGAAUACACCAAUCUCUUUUAUAUUGAACUUUGCAAUCGAUUCGUUCUUUGUGACUGCAAUGGCCUUUGCAAGCAGUUGCGCUCAAGAAUGUUUCCUCGCUAGCAAAGGCUGUAUUGUGUCAUCGAACCCAGUUAUGUUAUGAAAAAAGCUUUGGAAGUUGCAUGUGGCAAAUUUGCAGAAUGGGAAUCUCUGAAGAGGGAGCCGUUUUGGAAGGAGAUUUUCAUGGUGGUUGAGUAAAGAACAAAGUAAUCCUGUGGUGCCUGAGACACUUGCAUGUAAACCGGUUUCAGAUAUUCGUGUUAUUACUGAAAUUAACAUACAAACUUUACAAAUAGGACCUUGUAUAUGAUCACCAGUUCCUGGGAAGCAUUUAUAAGAUCACGAACCCUCAACACUUGUUAACUGGUCUCUUUGUUGCAUGCGUGAUAAAGGACUAACAGAACUGCAAAUUCUUGAAAACAACGUUGCUGUAUGUAUUAUUUACUCUAUGUUUUGUAUCCUGAAUAUACCACUUGGGUGUGUGUGUUCUUAUGCGUGUCGAAAUGGAUAGGCCUUUCACUAAUGACAACGAUGCGAUGCUCCCAUUCUCAACAUAAUUACAAAUAUGCCAAAUGCCUUCUACAGGAUAGGAGAGCCGCUUGCAGAAGUUCAAACUUCCAGAACCUGUUCCUUGCAUUGGGGGAAUUUUGCAGAACAAUUGGACAUAGUUGAUCAUAGAGAAGUUAUUAAUGGUUUAUUCUUUAUAUGUGUGUCGCACAUUCAAGCUAAUGGCCGAUCAUUAUCACCUGCAUUUGGUGUUGAAAUAGUUGAACCAUCUGGAAGGUUUGUAUUAGAAGGCUAGAUUUAGACUGCACCAGGGUUACCUGAAGAUGAUGGACCUUGUCCCUUUCUUGGUGGGUAUGUAGAGGUCAAUGUACGGUGGAGCAGAUUUUGAAUAUAUUGAAGGGACAAGGUGUAGAAGUACAGGAAUACAAUUGAAACUUAGAGAAUGACAAGUCAGCUUUCUAAUCCUGUUACCUGUUUAUAGCCGUAGGUGCUCAAGUGAUGCUUGUAUAUCUGGUGUUGCAGAAAAUGAAUGUUCCAGCAUUCUUACGGCUCAUUUGAUAAUCACAUGAAAGUACAAGUCAGAUAUUUAAUUAUACAGCCUUGAUAUGUAGAUUUUAAACUUGUUUACGAUGAAUCAACGAGGGAAUAUGAGAUAGAUGGUUUGAAUUACCAUAAAUUUCCAGUGAAUGAACUAUUUCAGAAUUAAGGAAGGUUGUAUGCUUCUAGUCAAAUUGCUCACCAGCACGCCAUCACUGCUCUGCAAAUGCAUCAUGUGAGAUGAAUAAACUAACAAACUAGCAGUGAUCAAUCUUUGAGCAAUGCUAUUCAAUCGUGGAUCAAGCCCUAAUGAUACAGGAAAUAACUUUCUGGAAGAGCCUUGACAGUCUUCGCAGAUGUUGCAGCACUCGUUGGAUUGUGCAAUGAUUCAGAAGCUGAGAAUCCUUGAGAAAAGCUAUGGUGCCAUUUUCCACACGAUGACGGUAGCUGUGGGAACCUUGUCCUGCAAAGAUGGCCCGUGUCGGUGAUUUUUUUUUUCUUAUCAAACGUUUUAUACAAGCCAUCAAAAUUCUAAGCAUUUAGAUAAAUUAAAGUUUAAUGAGACACUGAUGAACAUGUUGUUCUAUCUAUACUUGUAAAAAUUUAGACUACGAGCACGAACAGGCCCCAGAGUUUUCAAGCAGAUUAAACAUCCAAGUAUAAAAAUCAGAUUAAUGUCUGUUAGGCGUGUUCUGAAUUAUCAUGU
Populus euphratica (Euphrates poplar) is the source of this 1810-nucleotide long non-coding RNA. RefSeq lists it as uncharacterized. The transcript has 5 exons. NCBI's taxonomy places the organism in Eukaryota, Viridiplantae, Streptophyta, Magnoliopsida, Malpighiales, Salicaceae. The record is from RefSeq and is a predicted model, not a curated record.